RNAcentral lists this ribosomal RNA (842 nucleotides) under uncultured bacterium. Its description in RNAcentral is "bacterial SSU rRNA". It matches the Rfam family "Bacterial small subunit ribosomal RNA", at positions 56 to 878 of the family's 1533-position model. The record is from RNAcentral.
UGCAAGUCGAACGAGCCAGUACCCUUCGGGGUGCGAGUAAAGUGGCGAGCGGGUGAGUAACACGUGGGUAACCUGCCUUUGAGUGGGGAACAACCCCUCUAACGAGGGGCUAAUACCGCAUAAUGCAGCGGCUCCGCAUGGAGGCAGUUGUUAAAGGGGCAGCUUCGGUUGUCUCGCUUGAAGAUGGACCCGCGGUCCAUUAGCUUGUUGGUGAGGUAACGGCUCACCAAGGCAACGAUGGAUAGCCGGCCUGAGAGGGUGUACGGCCACACUGGAACUGAGAAAGGUCCAGUCCCCUACGGGGGCCAGCAGUCUAAAAAUUUGCGCAAUGGGCGAAAGCCUGACGCAGCGACCCCACGUGGAGGAUGAAGCCCUUAGGGGUGUAAACUCCUGUCAGAAGGGAAGAAUGCAAGAAAUAACUUUUCCUGUUUGACUGUACCUUCAGAGGAAGCCCCGGCUAACUUCGUGCCAGCAGCCGCGGUAAUACGAAGGGGGCAAGCGUUGUUCGGAUUUACUGGGCGUAAAGGGCGUGCAGGCGGACCGAUAAGUCGUCUGUGAAAUCUGUCGGCUCAACCAACAACUUGCAGUCGAAACUAUCGGUCUUGAGUACAGGAGAGGAGAGCGGAAUCUCAGGUGUAGCGGUGAAAUGCGUAUAUAUCUGGGAGAACACCGGUGGCGAAGGCGGCUCUCUGGCCUGAUACUGACGCUGAGGCGCGAAAGCUAGGGGAGCGAACGGGAUUAGAUACCCCGGUAGUCCUAGCUGUAAACGAUGGGUACUAGGGUGUUGGAGGUUUUGACCCCUCCAGUGCCGCAGCUAACGCAUUAAGUACCCCCGCCUGGGA